RNAcentral lists this ribosomal RNA (496 nucleotides) under uncultured bacterium. RNAcentral's name for it is "partial 16S ribosomal RNA". It matches the Rfam family "Bacterial small subunit ribosomal RNA", at positions 28 to 506 of the family's 1533-position model. The record is from RNAcentral.
GAUGAACGCUGGCGGCGUGCCUAAUACAUGCAAGUCGAGCGAACGGACGAGAAGCUUGCUUCUUUGAUGUUAGCGGCGGACGGGUGAGUAACACGUGGAUAACCUACCUAUAAGACUGGGAUAACUUCGGGAAACCGUAGCUAAUACCGGAUAAUAUUUUGAACCGCAUGGUUCAAAAGUGAAAGACGGUCUUGCUGUCACUUAUAGAUGGAUCCGCGCUGCAUUAGCUAGUUGGUAAGGUAACGGCUUACCAAGGCAACGAUGCAUAGCCGACCUGAGAGGGUGAUCGGCCACACUGGAACUGAGACACGGUCCAGAAUCCUACGGGAGGCAGCAGUAGGGAAUCUUCCGCAAUGGGCGAAAGCCUGACGGAGCAACGCCGCGUGAGUGAUGAAGGUCUUCGGAUCGUAAAACUCUGUUAUUAGGGAAGAACAUAUGUGUAAGUAACUGUGCACAUCUUGACGGUACCUAAUCAGAAAGCCACGGCUAACUACGU